CUGGAGUCCACGCCCGCUGGCGCCAGACUCCCGGGAGUACUCGAGGUCUGCCCCAAACCUGAACGCAAUCCACUCUACACUUCCACGCAUCCAGUGGGUCAAGCCAGAAACAGGGGAAUCAUCCUGCACAACUCUUUGACCCACAACCCCAUAUCGAUCCAUCAUCAAGUCCUAGUUGUUUACCUCCUGAAGAGCUUUGGAGUCUUUACAUGCCUCACCAUCGAAGCUGCCACCACCACCUCCUCUCUGGAUACUACUGCAGUCUCCUAAAAGGUCACCCUGCAUCUAUGCUUGUCACCGUCACUACGUCCUUUAAAAACACGUGGAGACCAAAAUCUUUCCUGUGCCUUGCAAAGCAUAGCAUGGUCUAGCCUCUUCCUAACUCAAAUUUUAUCAGUUUUCUCAUCCUACCCACCGUCCUCUUUUUAGUUCCUGCAACGAUAUAUCGGAUUUGUGUCUCAAGCCCUUGGCAUUCGCUACGUCUAACGUUCGUUUCUUUU
Molecule: long non-coding RNA, 500 nt
Filed under: Homo sapiens (human)
Lineage: Eukaryota; Metazoa; Chordata; Mammalia; Primates; Hominidae
Description: HSALNT0095309
Source: RNAcentral